UUUCUUUUAAAUCAGGGCUGUCCAACCUGCGGCCCCCCCAGAUGUUGCUGAACUACAAUUCCCAUGAUUCCCUGGCUAUCUUUUUUUAAUUGAAAGAAUCAUGGGAGUUGUAGUUCAGCAACAUCUGGGGGGGCCGCAGGCUGGACAGCCCUGUUCUAAAUGAAG
RNAcentral lists this microRNA precursor (165 nucleotides) under Pelobates cultripes (western spadefoot toad). Lineage: Eukaryota; Metazoa; Chordata; Amphibia; Anura; Pelobatidae. The record is from RNAcentral.